This 253-nucleotide ribosomal RNA is filed under the name uncultured bacterium. Its description in RNAcentral is "partial 16S ribosomal RNA". It matches the Rfam family "Bacterial small subunit ribosomal RNA", at positions 524 to 776 of the family's 1533-position model. The record is from RNAcentral.
UACGUAGGGGGCAAGCGUUGUCCGGAAUCAUUGGGCGUAAAGCGCGUGUAGGCGGCCAGAAAAGUCUGCUGUGAAAACUCGAGGCUCAACUUCGAGCUGUCGGUGGAAACUUUCUGGCUAGAGUCCGGAAGAGGAGAAUGGAAUUCCUGGUGUAGCGGUGAAAUGCGCAGAUAUCAGGAAGAACACCCGUGGCGAAGGCGGUUCUCUGGGACGGUACUGACGCUGAGACGCGAAAGCGUGGGGAGCAAACAGG